Molecule: long non-coding RNA, 202 nt
Filed under: Solanum tuberosum (potato)
Lineage: Eukaryota; Viridiplantae; Streptophyta; Magnoliopsida; Solanales; Solanaceae
Description: long non-coding RNA (STUB_LNC006235)
Source: RNAcentral
UGUAUCAGUUGUUUCUUUUGUUAAUACAAUUUUUCUUUUGACAGGAGCCAUUAUAUUUGUAUCUGCAACCACAAAAAUCAAAUAUUUCUUAACAAAAAUAACAACAACCAAACACAACAACACAAACAACAAAUACGAUUCAAUACCACACAUGAACCAACCAACAAACCACAAAACCCUCCCUAAACCCUAACCAACGAAC